Molecule: ribosomal RNA, 817 nt
Filed under: uncultured Ascomycota
Lineage: Eukaryota; Fungi; Ascomycota
Description: LSU rRNA
Rfam family: Eukaryotic large subunit ribosomal RNA
Source: RNAcentral
UUGUGAAAUUGUUGAAAGGGAAGCGCAUGGGGGCAGACUUGGACGCGGGGUUCAGGACGUCGGUUUGACGUGUGUACUUCCCCGCGGACAGGCCAGCAUCGGUUUCGGGGGCCGGACAAAGACGACAGGAAUGUGGCUCUCUUCGGAGCGUGUUAUAGCCUGACGUGCAAUGCGGCCACCUGGGACCGAGGACCGCGCUUCGGCAAGGAUGCUGGCGUAAUGGCCUCAUGCGGCCCGUCUUGAAACACGGACCAAGGAGUCUAACAUCUAUGCGAGUGUUUGGGUUUGAAGCCCGGACGCGGAAUGAAAGUGAACGGAGGUGGGAGUCCGCAAGGACGCACCAUCGACCGAUCCGGACGUUUUCCGAAGGAUUUGAGUAAGAGCAUAGCUGUUGGGACCCGAAAGAUGGUGAACUAUGCGUGAAUAGGGUGAAGCCAGAGGAAACUCUGGUGGAGGCUCGCAGCGGUUCUGACGUGCAAAUCGAUCGUCAAAUUUGCGUAUAGGGGCGAAAGACUAAUCGAACCAUCUAGUAGCUGGUUCCUGCCGAAGUUUCCCUCAGGAUAGCAGUAACGUAUUCAGUUUUAUGAGGUAAAGCGAACGAUUAGGGAGCUAGGGGUUGAAACAACCUUUAUCCAUUCUCGAACUUUAAACAUGUAAGAAGUCCUUGUUGCUUUGUUGAACGUGGACAGUCGAAUGCAGCGUUACUAGUGGGCCAUUUUUGGUAAGCAGAACUGGCGAUGCGGGAUGAACCGAACGUGGGGUUAAGGUGCCGGAAUGCACGCUCAUCAGACACCACAAAAGGUGUUAGUUCAUCUAG